UACAUACUGUGCGACCGUUAUUCGGAUUCACUGGGCUUAAAGGGUGCGUAGGCGGCUUGUUAAGUAGGGUGUGAAAGCCCCCAGCUCAACUGGGGAACUGCACUCUAUACUGGCGAGCUGGAGUGAGAUAGGGGUGUGUGGAACUGCCAGUGGAGCGGUGAAAUGUGUUGAUAUUGGCAGGAACGCCGGUGGCGAAAGCGACACACUGGGUCUCAACUGACGCUGAGGCACGAAAGCCAGGGGAGCGAACGGG
Molecule: ribosomal RNA, 253 nt
Filed under: uncultured bacterium
Lineage: Bacteria
Description: partial 16S ribosomal RNA
Rfam family: Bacterial small subunit ribosomal RNA
Source: RNAcentral